RNAcentral lists this ribosomal RNA (253 nucleotides) under uncultured bacterium. Its description in RNAcentral is "partial 16S ribosomal RNA". It matches the Rfam family "Bacterial small subunit ribosomal RNA", at positions 524 to 776 of the family's 1533-position model. The record is from RNAcentral.
UACGUAGGCAGCAAGCGUUGUUCGGAAUUACUGGGCGUAAAGAGUGUGUAGGUGGUGUCGUAAGUUUGGUGUGAAAUCUCCCGGCUUAACUGGGAGGGUGCGCCGAAGACUGCGAUGCUGGAGUAUGGGAGAGGAAAGCGGAAUUCCUGGUGUAGCGGUGAAAUGCGUAGAUAUCAGGAGGAACACCUGCGUUGUAGACGGCUUUCUGGACCAUUACUGACACUGAGACACGAAAGCGUGGGUAGCAAACAGG